This 4880-nucleotide long non-coding RNA is filed under the name Triticum aestivum (bread wheat). RNAcentral describes it as "long non-coding RNA (TAES_LNC012359)". The record is from RNAcentral. Lineage: Eukaryota; Viridiplantae; Streptophyta; Magnoliopsida; Poales; Poaceae.
UUUUUUUGUUUUUGGGUUUUACUUUUUUCCUAUUUUUGUUUUAUUCUAUGUCAAAAUAAUUUGGCAUCAAAAAAAGUUCUAAAAAUUUAAAAGAACUGUGAAUUUUUAAUAUUUAGAUGAACAUUUUUUAAUUUUAACGAACAUUUUUAUGAGGAUUUUUAAUACUGACGAACAACUUUUUGUAUUUGAUGAACAAAUUUUGAAUUUGAUGAGCAUUUUUUGACCUUGAUGAACAUAAUUUGUAUUCAAGAACAUUUUUAGAAAAAUGAUGAACACAUUUUUUAUUCAAUGAACAAAUGUUGAAUUUGAUGAACAAAAUUUGUAUUCCAGAACAUUUUUGUGAAAAAGAUGAACAAUUUUUUAUUCAAUGAACAAAUUUUGAAUUUGAUGAACACUUUUUGAAAAAUGCUGAACACAUUUUUUAUUCAAUGAACAAAUGUUGAAUUUAACUACGCCUAUGGUGUCUCAAUAUAGCCGGUCCCAAGCCCGGGCAAAGGAGGAGGGUUGUGAUAGGCUUGGCGAGCCAGCAUAAAAACUCAGCCACUCUAUGGAGAUGAAACCCAAAAGAUUUUCAUUGGGGCGUGACCUUCUCAGCGACGCGCCACAUCGGAACCCGGGUGUGGUGGCAAAUGUUUGGCAAGGGUCGGGCCGUCACCCCCUGGUGGCGCGCCGUAUCUUGAUCUGGAUAUGGUGGCAAGUGAGCGAGGAUCCGGUCGUCGCAUCCUUAGUGGUGCGCUACAUCGGCGCCCGGAUGUAGUGGAAAAUGAGCAAGGGUCUUCGCAUUUGACUCGACGAGUGCAAAGGGUAAGGAAGGUAGCCGAGCCUAGGAGGAUUCACUUAGGUAGCUAGAACGUAGAGUCUCUAACAGGGAAGCUUCGAGAGCUUGUGGAUGCAGCAGUGAGGAGAGGUGUUGAUAUCCUUUGCUUCCAACAAACCAAAUGGAGGGGACAGAAGGCGAAGGAGGUGGAGGAUACCAGCUUCAAGCUAUGGUACACGGGGACGGCUGCUAAUAGAAAUGGCGUAGGUAUAUUGAUCAACAAGAGCCUCAAGUAUGGAGUGAUAGACGUCAAGAGACGUGGGGACCGGAUUAUCCUGGUCAAGCUGGUAGUUGGGGACUUAGUUCUCAAUGUUAUCAGCGCGUAUGCCCCACAAGUAGGCCACAAUAAGAACACCAAGAGAGAGUUCUAGGAAGGCCUAGAAGACAUGGUUAGGAGUGUACCGGUUGGUGAGAAGCUCUUCAUAGGAGGAGACCUCAAUGGCCACGUGGGUACAUCUAACAUGGGUUUUGAAGGGGCGCAUGGGGGCUUUGGCUAUGGCAUCAGGAAUCAAGAAGUAGAAGAUGUCUUAAGCUUUGCUCUAGCCUACGACAUGAUUGUAGCUAACACCCUCUUUAGAAAGAGAGAAUCACAUCUGGUGACUUUUAGUAGUGGCCAACACUCUAGCCAUAUCGAUUUCAUCCACUCGAGAAGAGAAGAUGGGCGUGCGUGCCUAGACAAUAAGGUGAUACCUGGAGAGAGUGUUCUACCCUAGCAUAAGCUGGUGGUUGAUGACUUCCACUUUCGGAUUCGUGUCCAGCGGGAUAAGCGUGCCAGAGUCACUAGAAUGAAGUGGUGGAAGCUCAAGGGGGAGGUAGCUUAGGCGUUCAGGAGAGGUGCGUUAAGGAGGGCCCUUGGGAGGAAGGAGGCGAUGCGAACAAUGUGUGGAUGAAGAUGGCAACUUGCAUUCGUAAGGUGGCCUCAGAGGAGUUUGGAGUGUCCAAGGGAAGGAGAAGCGGAGAUAAGGAUACCUGGUGGUGGAAUGAUGAUGUCCAGAAGGCGAUUAAAGAGAAGAAAGAUUGCUUGAAACGCCUAUACCUGGAUAGGAGUGCAGACAACAUAGAGAAUUACAAGAUGGCGAAGAAGGCCGCAAGGCGAGAUGUCAGUGAAGCAAGGGGCCGAGCAUAUGAGGAGCUCUACCAACGGUUAGGCAUGAAGGAAGGCGAAAGGGAGAUCUAUAAGAUGGCCAAGAUCCGAGAGAGGAAGACGAGGGAUAUUGGCCAAGUCAAAUGCAUCAAGGACGGAGCAGACCAACUCUUGGUGAAGGACGAGAAGAUUAAGCAUAGAUGGCGGGAGUACUUCGACAAGUUGUUCAAUGGGGAGAAUGAGAGUUCUACCAUUGAACUGGACGAUUCCUUUGAUGAGACCAGCAUGCGCUUUGUGCGGCAAAUCCAGGAGUCCGAGGUCAAGGAGGCGCUAAAAAGGAUGAAAGGAGGCAAGGCAAUGGGCCCUGAUUGUAUCCCCAUUGAGGUGUGGAAAGCCUCGGGGACAUAGUGAUAGUAUGACUAACCAAGCUUUUCAACCUCAUUUUUUGGGCAAACAAGAUGCCAGAAGAAAGGAGACUAAGUAUAUUAGUACCAAUCUUCAAGAACAAGGGGGAUGUUCAGAGUUGUACUAUUUACCGUGGAGUUGAGCUGAUGAGCCAUACAAUGAAGCUAUGGGGGAGAGUCAUUGAGCACCUCUUAAGAAGAAUGACAAGCGUGACCAAAAAUCAGUUUGGUUUCAUGCCUGGGAGGUCGACCAUGCAAGCCAUUUUCUUGGUACGACAAAUUAUUGGAGAGAUACAGGGAGCAAAAGAAGGACUUGCAUAUGGUGUUCAUUGACUUGGAGAAGGCCUAUGAUAAGAUGUCGCGGAAUGUCAUGUGGUGGGCCUUGGAGAAACAUAAAGUACCAGCAAAGUACAUUACCCUCAUCAAGGACAUGUACGAUAAUGUUGUGACAAGUGUUCGAACAAGUGAUGUCAAGACUGAUGACUUCCCGAUUAAGAUAGGACUGCACCAGGGGUCAGCUUUGAGCCCUUAUCUUUUUGCCUUGGUGAUGUAUGAGGUCACAAUGGAUAUACAAGGAGAUAUCCCAUGGUGUAUGCUCUUUGCGGAUGAUGUGGUGCUACUUGACGAUAGUCGGACGGGGGUAAAUAGGAAGUUAGAGUUAUGGAGACAACCUUGGAAUCGAAAGGGUUUAGACUUAGUAGAACUAAAACCGAGUAUAUGGUGUGCGGUUUCAGUACUACUAGGUGUGAGGAGGAGGAGGAAGUUAGCCUUGAUGGGCAGGUGGUACCUCGGAAGCACACCUUUCGAUAUUUAGGAUCAAUGCUUCAGGAGGAUGGGGGUAUUGAUGAAGAUGUGAACCAUCGAAUCAAAGCCGGAUGGAUGAAGUGUCGCCAAGCUUCUGGCAUUCUCUGUGACAAAAGAGUGCCACAAAAGGUAAAAGGCAAAUUCUACAGGACGGCGGUUCGACCUACAAUGUUGUAUGGCGCUGAGUGUUGGCCGGCUAAAAGGCGACAUGUUCAACAGUUAGGUGUGGCGGAGAUGCGUAUGUUGAGAUGGAUGUGUGGCCACACGAGAAAGGAUCGAGUCCGAAAUAAUGAUAUACGAGAUAGAGUUGGGGUAGCACCAAUUGAAGAGAAGGUUGUCCAACAUCGUCUGAGAUGGUUUGGGCAUAUUCAACGCAGACCUCCAGAAGCUCCAGUGCAUAGCGGACGGCUAAAGCGUGCGGAGAAUGCCAAGAGAGGGCGGGGUAGACCGAAUUUGACAUGGAAGGAGUCCGUUAAGAGAGACCUGAAGGAUUGGAGUAUCACCAAAGAACUAGCUAUGGACAGGGAUGCGUGGAAGCUUGCUAUCCAUGUGCCAGAGCCAUGAGUUGGUCGCGAGAUCUUAUGGGUUUCACCUCUAGCCUACCCCAAUUUGUUUGGGACUAAAGACUUUGUUGUUGUUGUUGAACAAAAAUUGAAUUUGAUGAACAAAAUUUGUAUUCCAGGACAUUUUUAAAAAAAAGAUGAACAAUUUUUUAUUCAGUGAACAAUUUUUUUAAUUUGAUGAACAUUUUUUGAAAACAGUGAACAAAAACAGGUUGUGUGGGCAUUAGUCGGCAGAUACCCAGAAAUAUUUCAUCUAAAUUAUAAUCACCAGCUGUUUAUAAACUUCUCGCUGUGUGCUGAUUCUACUCUAACGUUUUAAUUCUGAUGAUGAGUCGCGCACGUGACAGCCUUGAGAAAUCAUCAACCACCGUGGCACACACGUUGUGUGGAGGGUGCACUGAGAUCUAGCUCGAGCUACUAUCCCCGCGUCGCGUCCGCGCGCGGGAGCCGGACACGACACCACGACUCGGCUACACCGCUGCACCACGGAUGCCGUUCUACCGGUGGCUAGAGCUUGGAACUGAAUCUACAUUCACGCACCGGCCAGCAGAGACAAGACAUGCACUGCAUGAAAACAUGGACAAAGAUCCACACAAAUGGAGAUUCCAUAUCGACAUCAUCAACGUACAAAACAGCCACCGCAACUAAUCACAACUCUCACUCAUGGCACACAGUACAAAUCAGGUCCCGAUCGAUUAUUUCGCCACCAGCAGCACGAACUCAUCUAGUAGCAGUACAAUCUCCGUGCCGCGGCGCGGUGCACGCGGAUCACGGGGCCGACACGCACGGCCCCGCAACUUAUUGCUACCACCACCCGCCACCAACCACAACACACGAGGAGGCCGGCGUACUCGAUCUUACGCAUCGGCGGCGCCAUCGGCUGGGCAGCGGUCGACGACGGCCUCCAGCUUGUAGGGCGCGGCGUCGGUGGCGAGCCACUGCUCGACGGUGAAGAGCUGCUGGGCGCAGCCGCGGUGCGGGCCGGUGACGGUGACCUCCACGUAGUUGCAGUACCAGCCGUGGUGCGCGCCGGUGCCGUCGGAGGACACCCUCAUGCGGCAGGGCGCGCUGGCCAUGCACGGCCCGCGCCCGCUGAAGAUGUCGAGGUUGCCGCGCUCGAAAUAGGAGUGGCCCUGCCACAUGAGCCCGCCCCACGACGGCAGGUCCGAGAUAGCCACGCCGUCGGCGUUGCCCGCGGUGUAGAGCUC